UACGUAGGGUGCGAGCGUUAAUCGGAAUUACUGGGCGUAAAGCGUGCGCAGGCGGCUAUGCAAGACAGAUGUGAAAUCCCCGGGCUCAACCUGGGAACUGCAUUUGUGACUGCAUGGCUAGAGUACGGUAGAGGGGAUGGAAUUCCGCGUGUAGCAGUGAAAUGCGUAGAUAUGCGGAGGAACACCGAUGGCGAAGGCAAUCCCCUGGACCUGUACUGACGCUCAUGCACGAAAGCCAGGGGAGCAAACGGG
RNAcentral lists this ribosomal RNA (252 nucleotides) under uncultured bacterium. RNAcentral's name for it is "partial 16S ribosomal RNA". It matches the Rfam family "Bacterial small subunit ribosomal RNA", at positions 524 to 776 of the family's 1533-position model. The record is from RNAcentral.